Molecule: small RNA, 470 nt
Filed under: Arabidopsis thaliana (thale cress)
Lineage: Eukaryota; Viridiplantae; Streptophyta; Magnoliopsida; Brassicales; Brassicaceae
Description: ATSL019650
Source: RNAcentral
UAUAUAGCUUUUUUGAAUAGUAAAGAAACUCUCUUCAAAGUUUCUUAUAUAAGGUAUUUUAGCACUUUAGAAAGAAUUUCUUCAAUAUUUAAGAAAACCACACAUUUUUUAUUAGUAUAUUUUCUAUCUCUAAAUUAAGAAACUUAUGUUUGGAAACUACCAAUGGGGUUGCUCUUAGACCAUCCCCAUUGGACAAAUUUAGAGGGUGUUUUCAAAUUUUAACAGAAUAAAAAAAUAGACAAAUGAGAAUUAAUGCACUGAACAGGAGAAACACGGUGACUUUAAUGUCUGUGAGAAGACAUUUUUUGAUAUUGGAAGACACGAAUGUGUCACCAUGCUAUUGGUUGGUGCUACUGUUUUCUAUUUUUUUCCUUCAUUUGGCCAACAAAUUUUUCUCUCUUUUCAUUUUGCCAAUAAAUUUUUCUCUCUUUAUUUGACCAAUAAAUUAUAGUUAAGACAUUCAAUAUAAA